UUCAAGGUUAGCAUCACAUGCCUUCUUGUAAGCAUUCUUAGCAGCAGCGGGUGCAUCAUCAGCAGGUUCUUCUAGUAGUGGGUUGUCUAGAACAUCUUCCUUUUUCUCAGCCCUGAGAACAAUUCUCAGGUUGCGGAUCCAAUCCGAGUAAUUUGUUCCAUUCAACUUGUCCUUCUCAAGGACCGAACGCAAAGCAAACGGUGUAGUGCUCCUAGGUGCCAUUUAAUCUACAACAAAGUAAUGCAAAAUAUACUAAGACAAACGUAUCCAUGAUAGAGUAAAUCAUAUUAAACUAUUUUAACAGAAUCUACUCCCACUAAAAUCAAUAUCCCUCUAUUGAAACUUAGUGAUUCA
This 354-nucleotide long non-coding RNA is filed under the name Setaria viridis. RNAcentral describes it as "long non-coding RNA (SVIR_LNC006673)". The record is from RNAcentral. Lineage: Eukaryota; Viridiplantae; Streptophyta; Magnoliopsida; Poales; Poaceae.